Corvus hawaiiensis (hawaiian crow) is the source of this 3573-nucleotide long non-coding RNA. RefSeq lists it as uncharacterized. The record is from RefSeq and is a predicted model, not a curated record. The transcript is spliced from 7 exons. NCBI's taxonomy places the organism in Eukaryota, Metazoa, Chordata, Aves, Passeriformes, Corvidae.
CCACGCUGCUUGGAAUUGCACAGGUUGGCAGAGACCCUGGGAGAAUGAAACACUAAACAUCUCAAACCCAGGAAGGACAGAAAUUAGAAACUCUGUUUUUAUCUGGGGUCAGUGCAUUUGAAUUACGUUUCAGGAGCAUGGCAACAUUUUCUUCUGAAGGAAAAGACAGACAACAAAAUUGGGGUAGAAAAACGUGAUUUGCAUUAAUUUUACCAUUUCAGUAUAUGUUAUUUAAAUUGGUAUUUUGUUACUCUGAGGGGGAAAAGAGGAUUGCCGUGAGAUCCACAGGUGAUUAACACCCUUGCCAGAAGCACAUUCUGGAUGGAUGAAAUGGCAGAAGCCACCAUGUUGCCAGAGCUUUAAGCAGGAUUCUGCCAAAGGAGAUUCCAAAAGGAGGACAUGCCUGGGGAAUAAUCUUUGCACAGAGUCUCUACUUCCAACCCAGCAGGCUUGGUUUUCCCCUCCUCUUCCUCCUGCCCAAGAAGGUUACACGUUCCUGCAAAAAUACUUAAGGACAUGUAACUAAAACAACCCAAAAUAGCACCCUGAGCUGUACAGUUCUGCCUGCCCUGUAACCCAGGAGGAACAAGGAUGUGAGUUCUGUGUGCAGCUGACCUCACCUGGGCUUGACACGGUCAUGAACCUCGCACCCCAGCACAGAGGAUAAAGAUACAGAUCACUCCAGGAAGUGGGAUUACUGUCCUGCAAAACCUGAAAGGAAGGGCUGAGGACAAUGACCAUCCUGACAGGCUUCUUUCGGAUAGCAGGCAGAAAAUGUGGCUUUAAAAGAGGAGCUCGGACAGGAAGCAGCAAAGUUCCAGGAGGAUUUCUGCGUCAAGCAGGAGAACAGCUGGCUUCUUGAAGUGUGAGCUUCAGAGAUCCCUAAAACCCUUGGCUGCACAGUUGGAGCAGUCAGGACUGAGGAACCAGAACCCCAGCACUUGCACUUCGAGUCAGGGCUGAGCUGCACAAGCCUCUUCAGAGUGGGAAGAGAAAUCUCUAUGCUCAGCACCCUAAGGAAAGCCGCAUGGCAGCCCGAGCUGCGCCUGCGGAGAUUGCGGGAUGCUGUAUCCACUGUACACGUUGUCCUCCUGCAGUGCGGCGGGGUUUCUUUGGAAAAUACGUCUGAAUUAGCGCCGAGGCCAGUGGUAACAAGAAAAUCAUUUUUUCCUAGUCUGACGGGAUGCCUGUGGGCAUACUGAGCUAGCAGAGGAACCGAACGGGCUCAUGGAGCAGGGACAGAGCUGCGGUGGCCACGGCAGGGAGGUGGUGAUGGUGCUGCAGCCGCAGGCUCGGCGCACAGCCCCUUUCCCUGGCACCCGCUGCUGGGAGGGAAAGGAGAGGGGGUGGCUGUCCCGGGACACCUCCACAGGCCGGGAACACCGCAGGAUCGCGGGCGGGCGACGCUGGGCUGGGCCACCACGAGGUGGCAGCCGGAGCCCAGCGAUGAGGCAGCCCCAGGUCCGGCCCGGGCGCUCCUGCCCGGCGGCGCCGAGCUCCGUGCGCCGGCGUGGGCAGCCGGGCGGGGGCCGCAGGGGCUGCCACAGUGACCCGAAAAGAUUCAUUAAAAACAAAAACAAAAACAAAAAAGCAGGGAGAGCCACAAUUAUCGAGUAACCAGUAUGGUACCGGCAGACUGGGAAAGCCCCUAAAAAUCUUGUGAAGUGUGGAAGGAGUUCGUCGUUCUGUGAGAGGACAAGUGUACGGCACACCUGCCGCCCUUCUGCAGCCCUUCCUUCGGCUAACAAAUAAUGACCUCUCUCCCCGAAGCAGCUGAAAGGCCUUGUGGAUAACCCCCUUUCCUGGCCCUGCACCGGUUCGUUCAAAAAUUGUUUGCGUAACUGCUUCACAUAUUUGAGAUAAAAAUCAGAGCAGUUAUUUUCCGUUCACUUCUACUGAGAUGGAUGGGGCAGCUCCUGUUCCAAGUGUUCUGCGUGACUGAGCCAUAGGAUCACAGGAUGCCUUGAGUUGGAAGGGGCCUUAAUGAUCACCUGCUUAACCCCCUGCCAUUAACAGGCACAAACAGGUGCUUCUUUUGGGGUUGGGGUCCCCCCCAACCCCUAGGAUACACUUUCUAUCCUAAGACACUGUUCCUUUCCCCCACAGAGGCUUUGCUUUUGUGACUGUUCAUGAAGGACAGUGGAACAGGAAUAACAUGAGCUGCUGGAAGCCAGCCUGUUACAGUUUGGGAAUGUGUGAUCCAGUGUGCAUGGCUCAUAAAUCAGGUCCAUAAAAUGAUCACAGGGAAAAAAAACAAAAAAACCAACCCCAAACCAAACCCCAUCCUCUUCCUAGAAGGAACAGCACGGCACUGGGGUAGUGUUUUGCAGGGCUGUUACAGCAGCAGCAGGUAAAUUAAACCUGAAUCUGGCAGAUAAAACAAGUGGGCUGAGCCCUCCAGUGCAUCUCCCAAAGGUUCAGGAACAGCAGCCACAGCUUUCCCCCCACCUCUAUGUAAGCCCAGGGUGUAGAUAGGGCUUCUUGGGGAGACCAGAGACAUCCCUAACCCCACAGUUCAGAUCCUCACCCUGAGGGGGCUCGUUGGUUCGUGGGAAUAGGAGAGCUGUAACCCUUGGCCCCACUGGAAAUGAUGGCACACCAGGAUGCAGCUUUCCAUGCUCCCUGAUUCAUGAUCGGUGGUGACUCACGGCUCUGUGCUCCCUUUGGAUGCUGCUCAGUGUCGCUCCAAGGGGCUCAUUCUCAAGUGGUAUUUUUGCUCAGCAUGCAAGUAGUUUAAUUUUUAAACCAACCACUGCCCCCAGCUUUACUGAGCAAAGCUUUAAACAAAGCUUUCUUAAUUUGUCAGAGCAAGCAGGACGACAGAGCUAAAAGGAACCUUGUCUCAUUUCCUCUUCUGCCAGUGAGUAAGAGCUGACCCCAGACAGACAGACACAGACAGGCAGGGCUGACACGUUGUGAGGGGGGGCUGUGUGGCUGUUCCAAGAGCUGCCCUGCCCUUGCCCCAGACUGCAUCAAGGUGUACUGAAUACGAACAUUUAAGAGCAGGAGCGCUGCUAAAACAAAGUCUGUGUGUGUUACCAUGUGACCACUGAUCCAACCAUUAAACUUCUUCCACACAGCAGUUACUGGAUUUUGAACUCCAACAGCCCAAAAUAAAUCCAGACAAAAAGACAUCCAUUAAUUCCGAAAUGUAAAUGACUUUAUAUUACUUUAUUAAAUAGCCAAAUCUAAAGAACAGUAAAAAAUAUGAAAACAUGCAUCAUUUGGUGUUCUUAAAAAACUGUUGUCCAAAAUAAAGACUGUUAGAAAAAUUAAACAAGUUUAGCCCCAAUAUCCCUUCUGCUCUCCACAUAAAAUGUCUGGUAGUUAUAAAUACUGUUCCAGCUCCUUAAGCAAAGUUUAACCUUGUGUACAUUAGUAAUUCUAUUACAGGUGGUUGGAUUUUUCUUCACAUUGCUUCUGUAAACGUGAUCAAUUUAAAAAAGGCCUUGUUAUCAAGCUUAAGGAACUAUGGUUUUCCUGUACAGUGAGUAUAAAUAGGAAGAUCCUAGAUUUUCCUGCCAUUCUAAUCAGCACUCCCUUUACUGAAACAUUAAAGAUUUCAAUUAGUAU